GGGAAUGUGGCUUAGUGGUAGAGUGCUUGCCUAGCAUGCAUGAAGCUCUGGGUUCGACUCCUCAGCAUAAACA
This is a non-coding RNA of Dipodomys ordii (Ord's kangaroo rat), 73 nucleotides long. Lineage: Eukaryota; Metazoa; Chordata; Mammalia; Rodentia; Heteromyidae. The record is from Rfam.